CCCCCGAGGUGGCCGUCUCUCUCAUUUUGGGCUCAUUUUCCAUCAGUUUGGUGCUGAUUUUGGCCGUCGCCUCCUUUUUCUACCUCAAACGCUCCAAGCGGCUCCCGCGGCUCUUCUACCGCCAAAACAAAGCAUCCGUCCUCCAGCCCAGUGAAACGGCCUCCAUGAUUCCCCCUCCGACCUCCUCAG
This is a long non-coding RNA of Malurus melanocephalus (red-backed fairy wren), 189 nucleotides long. RefSeq lists it as uncharacterized. The transcript is spliced from 3 exons. The record is from RefSeq and is a predicted model, not a curated record. Lineage: Eukaryota; Metazoa; Chordata; Aves; Passeriformes; Maluridae.